GCUGGUGAUACCUCCUCACCCAGAACCUGGAAUUAAGGGAGGCGGGUUCUGCUCCUCUAGAGCCCAAACCCGAGGAAGGAAAUGGAAGGGUGGGAUGGUGUCAGACGGAAGGGAAAGCAGAGAAGAGGAAGACCAAAGCCAGCAAGGGGGAAGGGGAGGCUCAAUGGUCUACGCCCUGACUGUGCGGCAGAUGCAUGAGGCCCCAAGACUCUGCCUGGCAAGUGCAGACUGAUUGCAUAGGAUCAAAUACCGUGCAAGGUUAGUACACCGUGUCCUAGGUAGAGAGGAGGAUUUUAAUACAGAAUAAAGGCCGCCCUCUUUCCUGCCCUCCUCCCACAGAGGGGGGGGAGGGGGGUGACUGGCCCUGGCAGGUCGCCUGUCCCCGCCCCGCGCCCUCCCCAGAGCCUCCUGCCCGCUGAGGUCGCCGCCCAGCAAAGCCUGGGCACUCCUCCCUUGCUUGCCGCAGGUCUCGGCCCAUCACCCGAGCCUGGUCCCACCCGCCAAACCACAUACUUUCACCUCCGUCUCACCCUUCCCUCCACCCUUCCCGUCUUCCUGGCCCAGUCCUCGCCACUCAGAUGAUUUUUAAGUCUGCCGCUUCCUUUCAAUGGCUAGAGAAAGGAUGGAAGGCUUGUGUUUGGCAGUGUUUAAAUUACUCCAGAAAACACCCAGUGGCAAAGACAAUAAAAGGGUACAGUUUCUUCGGCUGCUUCCGCAGGGCAGGGGGAGGGGUGGCCCGCUAACCUCCACCCACCUGCCGCCCGCCCGCCAGCUGUCUUCUGGGUGGACAGCACGGGGUCUCACCCCUGUCCCCUCCCCCCACCUCCUCUUUGGCAGGCUGGCAGCCUAGGCCAGCUGGAUGGCUUGUCUCUACUCUGAGCUAGAAGGCUUCUGAAGUUAGCUGAGGCUCACAACUCUCAUGCGCCUGCUGGGCGAUCAAGACUUUUUACAAGGAGGGUGGCGCUAUUGCCUCCUAUCCGUGUCCAUCAGAAACCCC
Molecule: small RNA, 997 nt
Filed under: Mus musculus (house mouse)
Lineage: Eukaryota; Metazoa; Chordata; Mammalia; Rodentia; Muridae
Description: Erytha erythroid developmental lncRNA
Source: RNAcentral